GCACUCAUUAUUGCUUUAUCAUGCUUCACACAGCAGGUGCAAAAUUCAAUCUCGGGUACAGACCUUGGCUGGGAGUUGCACUUGCUGUGUGAUGCACGCAAAGGCCAUGGUGUGC
Molecule: non-coding RNA, 115 nt
Organism: Marchantia polymorpha subsp. ruderalis
Lineage: Eukaryota; Viridiplantae; Streptophyta; Marchantiopsida; Marchantiales; Marchantiaceae
Source: the annotation of a GenBank genome assembly